AUCCCGAUCCCAAGCACCAUGGAGCCGACGAUUUGGAUCAAGACCUACAUCCCAAGCACCAAGGUGCCUGGUUGAUAUGGAUCGCGAUCCCGAUCUGGAGCUCCAGGGCGCCGAGGAUUUCGAUCACGAUCCCGAUCUGAAGCACCGAGUAGCCGAGGAUAUGGAUCAAGACCCCGGUCCGAAGCGACAAGGAGGCAAGGAUUUGGAUCACCACUCCGAUCAAAGGCACCAAGGCGUCGAGGGAUUGGAUCGAGAUCCCGAUCCCAAUCAUGAAGUUGGCUAUGUAAUUUCCUGUUUUCCACACCGUUCAGGGCAUUUUGGUGGUCGUAUCGGCUUUUAGUUGCUUGCUUGGUGUUAGUGCCAAGGGAGUGGUUGGAAGCUAGGUCGUCCUCUGGAAUGCUUGUUGUAAAGGUGUAUGAGUUGUGUUUGGCUUGUUACGGGUGUUUGUUGGCUGCUUGUGCAGGAACUUUCAUGCGUCCAAGCCUCUUCAGUUGUGCUACAAGGCCUUGUUUGUCUUGUGCAUACGGUGGGUUUCCUGUGUUGCAUACCUAAUCAAGGGCAUCGUAUGGCUUAAUCGAAGUAAAUAUUCGUAAUGCGCCGCUUGCGGCGUUGCACGAACCUUGAAGUGGUCUCUGUGGCCCAUGUUGUCUAUGCUCACGUAUGGAUGGCAUGGCCCUCGGAGCGUCGCUUGGUCUCUUGGAUACGGAACCUGAUGAUGUGGGCGGUAGGGUCUUGGAUGAUUCUACCUUCGC
RNAcentral lists this unclassified non-coding RNA (752 nucleotides) under Tolpis laciniata. Its description in RNAcentral is "partial external transcribed spacer". Lineage: Eukaryota; Viridiplantae; Streptophyta; Magnoliopsida; Asterales; Asteraceae. The record is from RNAcentral.